Pelobates cultripes (western spadefoot toad) is the source of this 111-nucleotide non-coding RNA. Lineage: Eukaryota; Metazoa; Chordata; Amphibia; Anura; Pelobatidae. The record is from the annotation of a GenBank genome assembly.
GUGUGUAUCUGUGUGUCAAUGUGUAUCUGUGUGCCAGUGUGUGUGUGUAUCUGUAUGUCACAUACAUAUACACACACGCACAUAGAUACACACUGACACAGAGAUACACAC